UGACAGAAAAAACUGUGGAAUGAAAUGGCCAUUCCCAUCAACUGUCAAUCCCCCGAAAUGUGAAAUAAUACCAAUUGCAGGUUUUACCAAAUUUCAGUUUCUUAUCUACUCUCAAACUCUCUCCACACUCCACUCUUAUCUACAUUCCAUUUUACUAAAUCUGGAUUACAUUCCAUCCACAAACCAAACACCACCCAACUAUCAAAGUGAUUUCAUGCCCCAACGAUGAACUUCAUAUACGGUUUC
This 246-nucleotide long non-coding RNA is filed under the name Prunus persica (peach). Its description in RNAcentral is "long non-coding RNA (PPER_LNC006813)". Lineage: Eukaryota; Viridiplantae; Streptophyta; Magnoliopsida; Rosales; Rosaceae. The record is from RNAcentral.